Molecule: non-coding RNA, 183 nt
Filed under: Nitrospiraceae bacterium
Lineage: Bacteria; Pseudomonadati; Nitrospirota; Nitrospiria; Nitrospirales; Nitrospiraceae
Also listed under: 1 other name
Description: 6S RNA
Rfam family: 6S / SsrS RNA
About the family: E. coli 6S RNA was the first non coding RNA to be sequenced, but its function was unknown until recently.
Source: RNAcentral
AUAUACCUGCCCUGUUCGUGAUUCGGUAAAAGUGUUGAUCCGGCAAAUUAGAUAGUUUGGGAGCCGGGUAUAAGACUGGCGGUGUGCAGGUCUCCGUACGGAGAAAGCCUAAGCGGUCUUCGGGGCACCCACCUGUAGAUAAUACGGGAUCUAAUUUUUACCACACGGCAGGGUGGGUACACA